RNAcentral lists this ribosomal RNA (544 nucleotides) under uncultured bacterium. Its description in RNAcentral is "bacterial SSU rRNA". It matches the Rfam family "Bacterial small subunit ribosomal RNA", at positions 777 to 1320 of the family's 1533-position model. The record is from RNAcentral.
AAUAGAUACCCGGGUAGUCCACGCCGUAAACGAUGAGUGCUAAGUGUUGGGGGGGUUUCCGCCCCUCAGUGCUGCAGCUAACGCAUUAAGCACUCCGCCUGGGGAGUACGGUCGCAAGACUGAAACUCAAAGGAAUUGACGGGGGCCCGCACAAGCGGUGGAGCAUGUGGUUUAAUUCGAAGCAACGCGAAGAACCUUACCAGGUCUUGACAUCCCGGUGACCACUAUGGAGACAUAGUUUCCCCUUCGGGGGCAACGGUGACAGGUGGUGCAUGGUUGUCGUCAGCUCGUGUCGUGAGAUGUUGGGUUAAGUCCCGCAACGAGCGCAACCCUUAUUCUUAGUUGCCAUCAUUCAGUUGGGCACUCUAAGGAGACUGCCGGUGAUAAACCGGAGGAAAGUGGGGAUGACGUCAAAUCAUCAUGCCCCUUAUGACCUGGGCUACACACGUGCUACAAUGGACGGUACAAACGGUUGCCAACCCGCGAGGGGAGCUAAUCCGAUAAAACCGUUCUCAGUUCGGAUUGUAGGCUGCAACUCGCUACA